UUGCUUGCCGGAAAGGACGCUUAAUUUGUCCGGUUUUCCACCGGCAGGCUUGGUUUUGGUGGCUGUCCGGAUGCCAGCCCCGGCAAGCAGG
Molecule: transfer RNA, 91 nt
Filed under: termite gut metagenome
Description: tRNA-Glu
Source: RNAcentral